RNAcentral lists this ribosomal RNA (497 nucleotides) under uncultured bacterium. RNAcentral's name for it is "partial 16S ribosomal RNA". It matches the Rfam family "Bacterial small subunit ribosomal RNA", at positions 28 to 507 of the family's 1533-position model. The record is from RNAcentral.
GAUGAACGCUGGCGGCGUGCCUAAUACAUGCAAGUAGAACGCUGAAGGAAGGAGCUUGCUCUUUCCGGAUGAGUUGCGAACGGGUGAGUAACGCGUAGGUAACCUGCCUGUUAGCGGGGGAUAACUAUUGGAAACGAUAGCUAAUACCGCAUAACAGUAGAUGUUGCAUGACAACUAUUUGAAAGGGGCAAUUGCUCCACUACCAGAUGGACCUGCGUUGUAUUAGCUAGUUGGUGAGGUAACGGCUCACCAAGGCGACGAUACAUAGGCGAACUGAGAGGGUGGUCGGCCAAACUGGGACUGGGAAACGGCCCAGACUCCUACGGGAGGGAGCAGUAGGGAAUCUUCGGCAAUGGAGGGAAGGCUGAACGAGCAAAGCCGCGUGAGUGAAGAAGGGUGUCGGAUCGGAAAGAUCUGUUGUAAGAGAAGAAAGAGAGGGAGAGUGGAAAGUUCACACUGUGACGGUAUCUUACCAGAAAGGGACGGCUAACUACGUG